GUGCCAGCCGCCGCGGUAAUACGGAGGGUGCAAGCGUUAAUCGGAAUUACUGGGCGUAAAGCGCACGCAGGCGGUCUGUCAAGUCGGAUGUGAAAUCCCCGGGCUCAACCUGGGAACUGCAUUCGAAACUGGCAGGCUGGAGUCUUGUAGAGGGGGGUAGAAUUCCAGGUGUAGCGGUGAAAUGCGUAGAGAUCUGGAGGAAUACCGGUGGCGAAGGCGGCCCCCUGGACAAAGACUGACGCUCAGGUGCGAAAGCGUGGGGAGCAAACAGGAUUAGAUACCCUGGUAGUCCACGCUGUAAACGAUGUCGACUUGGAGGUUGUUCCCUUGAGGAGUGGCUUCCGGAGCUAACGCGUUAAGUCGACCGCCUGGGGAGUACGACCGCAAGGUUAAAACUCAAAUGAAUUGACGGGGGCCCGCACAAGCGGUGGAGCAUGUGGUUUAAUUCGAUGCAACGCGAAGAACCUUACCUACUCUUGACAUCCAGAGAACUUAGCAGAGAUGCUUUGGUGCCUUCGGGAACUCUGAGACAGGUGCUGCAUGGCUGUCGUCAGCUCGUGUUGUGAAAUGUUGGGUUAAGUCCCGCAACGAGCGCAACCCUUAUCCUUUGUUGCCAGCGAUUAGGUCGGGAACUCAAAGGAGACUGCCAGUGAUAAACUGGAGGAAGGUGGGGAUGACGUCAAGUCAUCAUAGCCCUUACGAGUAGGGCUACACACGUGCUACAAUGGCAUAUACAAAGAGAAGCGACCUCGCGAGAGCAAGCGGACCUCAUAAAGUAUGUCGUAGUCCGGAUUGGAGUCUGCAACUCGACUCCAUGAAGUCGGAAUCGCUAGUAAUCGUGGAUCAGAAUGCCACGGUGAAUACGUUCCCGGGCCUUGUAC
Molecule: ribosomal RNA, 881 nt
Filed under: uncultured bacterium
Lineage: Bacteria
Description: bacterial SSU rRNA
Rfam family: Bacterial small subunit ribosomal RNA
Source: RNAcentral